GAGUUUGAUCUUGGCUCAGAUUGAACGCUGGCGGCAUGCCUUACACAUGCAAGUCGAACGGCAGCACGGGAGCUUGCUCCUGGUGGCGAGUGGCGAACGGGUGAGUAAUGCAUCGGAACGUAUCCUGGAGUGGGGGAUAACGUAGCGAAAGUUACGCUAAUACCGCAUAUUCUGUGAACAGGAAAGCGGGGGACCUUCGGGCCUCGCGCUCUUGGAGCGGCCGAUGUCGGAUUAGCUAGUUGGUGAGGUAAAGGCUCACCAAGGCGACGAUCCGUAGCAGGUCUGAGAGGAUGAUCUGCCACACUGGAACUGAGACACGGUCCAGACUCCUACGGGAGGCAGCAGUGGGGAAUUUUGGACAAUGGGGGCAACCCUGAUCCAGCCAUGCCGCGUGAGUGAAGAAGGCCU
This 408-nucleotide ribosomal RNA is filed under the name bacterium enrichment culture clone ALO1_GLFRUDD03GKFWE. RNAcentral describes it as "bacterial SSU rRNA". It matches the Rfam family "Bacterial small subunit ribosomal RNA", at positions 9 to 417 of the family's 1533-position model. The record is from RNAcentral.